GAUCUGGCUCAGGACGAACGCUGGCGGCGUGCCUAACACAUGCAAGUCGAGCGGGGGAAUAUUGAGCAGCUUGCUGCUUGGUAUUUCUAGCGGCGGACGGGUGAGUAACGCGUGAGCAACCUGCCUUUAUCAGGGGGAUAACGCAUCGAAAGAUGUGCUAAUACCGCGUAAGACCACAGCUUCACAUGGAGCAGGGGUCAAAGGAGCAAUCCGGAUAAAGAUGGG
This 225-nucleotide ribosomal RNA is filed under the name uncultured bacterium. Its description in RNAcentral is "partial 16S ribosomal RNA". It matches the Rfam family "Bacterial small subunit ribosomal RNA", at positions 15 to 229 of the family's 1533-position model. The record is from RNAcentral.